Molecule: ribosomal RNA, 344 nt
Filed under: uncultured bacterium
Lineage: Bacteria
Description: bacterial SSU rRNA
Rfam family: Bacterial small subunit ribosomal RNA
Source: RNAcentral
GACGAACGCUGGCGGCGUGCUUAACACAUGCAAGUCGAACGAGAAGAGAUGAGAAGCUUGCUUCUUAUUGAUUCGAGUGGCAAACGGGUGAGUAACGCGUAAGCAACCUGCCCUUCAGAUGGGGACAACAGCUGGAAACGGUUGCUAAUACCGAAUACGUUCUUUUUGUCGCAUGGCAGAGGGAAGAAAGGGAGGCUCUUCGGAGCUUUCGCUGAAGGAGGGGCUUGCGUCUGAUUAGGUAGUUGGUGAGGUAACGGCCCACCAAGCCGACGAUCAGUAGCCGGUCUGAGAGGAUGAACGGCCACACUGGAACUGAGACACGGUCCAGACUCCUACGGGAGGCA